This 753-nucleotide ribosomal RNA is filed under the name uncultured Bacteroidota bacterium. RNAcentral describes it as "bacterial SSU rRNA". It matches the Rfam family "Bacterial small subunit ribosomal RNA", at positions 558 to 1318 of the family's 1533-position model. Lineage: Bacteria; Pseudomonadati; Bacteroidota. The record is from RNAcentral.
GUUUAAAGGGUCCGUAGGCGGAUCUGUAAGUCAGUGGUGAAAUCUCACAGCUCAACUGUGAAACUGCCAUUGAUACUGCAGGUCUUGAGUAAGGUAGAAGUGGCUGGAAUAAGUAGUGUAGCGGUGAAAUGCAUAGAUAUUACUUAGAACACCAAUUGCGAAGGCAGGUCACUAUGUCUUAACUGACGCUGAUGGACGAAAGCGUGGGGAGCGAACAGGAUUAGAUACCCUGGUAGUCCACGCCGUAAACGAUGCUAACUCGUUUUUGGGGCUUUAUGCUUCAGAGACUAAGCGAAAGUGAUAAGUUAGCCACCUGGGGAGUACGUUCGCAAGAAUGAAACUCAAAGGAAUUGACGGGGGCCCGCACAAGCGGUGGAUUAUGUGGUUUAAUUCGAUGAUACGCGAGGAACCUUACCAAGGCUUAAAUGGGAAUUGAUCGGUUUAGAAAUAGACCUUCCUUCGGGCAAUUUUCAAGGUGCUGCAUGGUUGUCGUCAGCUCGUGCCGUGAGGUGUUAGGUUAAGUCCUGCAACGAGCGCAACCCCUGUCACUAGUUGCCAUCAUUAAGUUGGGGACUCUAGUGAGACUGCCUACGCAAGUAGAGAGGAAGGUGGGGAUGACGUCAAAUCAUCACGGCCCUUACGCCUUGGGCCACACACGUAAUACAAUGGCCGGUACAGAGGGCAGCUACACAGCGAUGUGAUGCGAAUCUCGAAAGCCGGUCUCAGUUCGGAUUGGAGUCUGCAACUCGACUC